Gasterosteus aculeatus aculeatus (three-spined stickleback) is the source of this 2846-nucleotide long non-coding RNA. RefSeq lists it as uncharacterized. The record is from RefSeq and is a predicted model, not a curated record. NCBI's taxonomy places the organism in Eukaryota, Metazoa, Chordata, Actinopteri, Perciformes, Gasterosteidae.
UAGCAAAUCAUUUGCUGAUCCAGCUGAAUAACAAUCAGUGUUUAUGUAUUCCAGGCGAUGAGGACUCGAGUCUGCCCCGGAGCCGGUUGUGAAGCCCUCUUUACACCCAGUCCUCCUCAGGACGAUAGACACAAUUACUGCUGUUUAUUGUCUCUGCUUGACACGCUGAGUGAAGGAAAUGGCUUGUAAAGUAUUAUUUGUUUGGAGAAACGGAGGGUGCUUGAAGCCCAGCUCCGAUCGAGGGCCGGGGACGAGUUCAACCCUCCGACAGUGGAGGAUGGAGACGGCAAAGGAUGAUUGUUUCUUUUCUCGUUGUUUCAGCGAGAAGACAUUUUAUAUUUUUAAGUCUUUGGUGGAGUGAAAACCAUUUCCUCUGGGCUGUCGGUCUUCAAAGAGGCACAAUUUGAUGGGCCAGUGUGGACAAGCUAAGACGAAGAAGUCACGCAACAUCUGGGCAGAGAGAGCCUUGAAAAACCCCGCUGAUAAGGGACAGAACAGACAGCGCCGGAUGUUUGUCUCUUCAAAUUAUCAUUAUGAAGUCUACCUUGGAGGUAUUUAACUGAUGCUCACAUCUGGAGAGAGGAGGGGUUACCCAGGUCUUAACAGUACAUGUACCAAGGGUUAUUAGAAUGUGUGUUUAUGUUAAAAAGCAGAUUGUUGGUUGCAUUGUGUGUUUUAAAAUGUGGUCUUAAACAAUCCUAUUCCAACAGAAAUACCUCUUUAUGUCCCAGCAGUAGUUAUAAGCUUAACAUUUAUGGGAUUAUGAUCUGCGUUAAUUAUACGUUGGGAAGAAAACAUUUAGACUGUUUGUUCCAGUGGCGUCUGAAAACCACAGUCCUCACUGAGAGAAAGGGAAGCGCUCUCCAUUAUUACACCGAAUAAAACAGUAAUGACCAAUUAAGCCCUGUAAUAAACAGCCGGGCAGCUUGUGAUCAAGGCCCAUUGUCCCUGUAAGCCUCUGAAACCAUACUUUCUUUUAUCAGCUCCUUUUAAACAGGCUGAAAAACAGUAGAUCCUCUCUGACGAGCUUUGCCAGCGAGCUCCAUAAAAUCUAAUCCAGCCACUUAACAGGGGAAGCGGGACAUAACUUUGAAUUAUUUAUGUUACUGUGCAUUAAGCUGCCGGUUAACAUUCUCCAAAACCCGAGCAAAUGAUGUCACUGUUAUGUUGCGGUGUGUAAAGCCCCCCUACUCUCCAUGUGUUAAACGAAUUAUGGCCCGACUUGUUGAAAUUCAGCCCCCCGGGAGAUGAGUUCCCUCUGCGGGGAUACAGGCAAUAUACUGCAGCGGGACCACAUCAAUAACACGAGGUGUCAAGAGGACAAAGUGUCGUUAGUCCUUUUGAAUGUGUCCAGGAAUCAACCACAACCCUAUUAAAAGAAUCACUUGAGUCCAUUUCCAUUGGGGACACGUACUCAAAGCACAGGAAAGAUCAUAGUGUGUCAUAUUUACAUAAUGCGAUCUUAUUAUAGAAAUAGAAAGUGUUUUAAAUAUUUGUUCUAUUAUAUUCCUAUACUAAAAUUACUGUGGCUAGUAGUGUCCACCCAAUGACUAACAUCAUGUUAAAUAUAUUGAAUGUGUUGUUACUAGGAUAUUCUUUAACUGUUUACAUUGACUAUCACCCUUCUGAAACAACAUAUUUUCUUAAUUUAAUCCCUCAUUGAUAUCCCAACUAUGAUCCUAAAUAUAUCCAUCAAGGCCCGGGGUUUUCUGUUUGCAUCGACUGAGAGCACACUAAAGUUUGUCGUAUACUAUUAUUCAUUAUUAAUUAUUUUUAAAAAUCACGCAUCCCAGACCAGGACACUGUCCCGCAGAGCUGUUUUCCAGACGGUCCUCUGGGUGUCACAGGGACACGACUGGUCUUAUCCGACCAAAGACGCCCCGGCUAUGCGCCCAAAACCCAAACCUUUGCGCAUCGGCGUGGAACUUACGCGUGGAACUUACGCGUGGAACUUACGUGUGGACAAGGACAGCACGCCGGGACUGUACAGCAUGAGGAAAACCAAGCAGAUAUCCAAGACGACUUUCAUCCCCCCCACGCCAGCCACCCCCCCUCCCCGACCCACAGUUCCUUUGAGGUCCCUUUCUUGAUUCCUCGUCCUCGUGUUGUUGUGAUGUCGCCUUUUCCCCUCUGUCUCUCUCUGUCUCUCUCUCUCUCCCCCCCUCAACUCCUCCUCCUCGAUCUUGGAUAGAAAUUACGCACAGCGUGGAAAGAAGAAAGAAACAAAACAGGACGGGUUCAAAAUAGUCCGGACUGGGAAAGCAGUGCACUGGGAGGAAGUGGAGAAAGUCGCCCUUUGAGGAGCCUUUAGGCGAGUGAGCGUCCCGGCUGCGCGCUGCUCGCUUCUCCAGGCUUCCUGCAGCUGAAUCAUACACAAGUUCAUACUUUCUAAGCCCCUCCUCUCUCCCUCUCUCCCUCUCUCCCUCUCUUCCUCUCUCUUCCUCUCUCGUCCCACUCAGUCGCCAGUCACCCCCCCCCCCCCCCCUCCUCCCUUUCCCUUUGCUUUCACCAACCUCUCCCUCUUCAGUGAUGGGUAGGGGGGUGAGAGGGGGGCGGGGGGGUCGUUCACUUCCACUGAAUCACUCUGUUUCUGUUACUUUCCAGGCCCCAAGUCUCUGUUUGACUGUUGAGUCACUCAGGAGUCUUUUGUUUAAUCGAUUUUAUUACUUUUUAAUAAUUUUUUUGAAUCCACCAAAGCAUAAGUAAGACUCAGUUUAAUGAUCAUUUACAAUUAAAAAAUUAUGAAGUGUAUUAUGAAUGUGAAUUAUAUUAUGAAGACCAAAUAAAACAUUCCUGCUUUUACCAAUGAGAAGGUGAAUAAAAGAGCAAUAAAAUGCCUUCCAACA